This is a non-coding RNA of Picea glauca (white spruce), 122 nucleotides long. Lineage: Eukaryota; Viridiplantae; Streptophyta; Pinopsida; Pinales; Pinaceae. The record is from Rfam.
AUGUAAUUUAAUUCCUAUAACAUUAAUGCAUCAUAUCCUAUUAGAAAUUUGUAGUUAAGCGUGCUUGGGAUAGAGUAAUACUAGGAUGAGUGACCACCCAGGAAGUCCUAGUGUUUUACAUG